AUUUUCUUGACUGACUUUCUAUUAAUCAUUUUGCUGAGCCUGGCUCAAUGUCAUUCCCAAUCAUUUGCACAUGGACCCAUGUUUCCAAACCGAGCUGCUGCACAGAUCUGACCCAGGUGACAGUUAUGUUAGAACUAAUUUUCUGUCUCAUGUAUUGUAUAUCGCACUCGAGUGCACAUGCAAAGUCCCCUAAAGGUAAGAAGCUAUUUGGAUCAACUGAAAUACUCUGAGAAUAACAAAAACAGUAAUUAGGUUUGCUCCAAAAGCACCUCUCGUAUUGUGGCGAGGAGUUAGUCAGAAAUAUUGAAUUUGACCUCUCUCAAUGGGAGUCUGCAAAGACGGCAAUUCAAAAUACAUCCCUGCUACAGUGUGAGAUUUCUGGAAGGUCCACCCACUGCCUUUGGCGAAAGCACACCCUACAGCACUUCCCUGGACUAAUACCCUCUAUGUCGCAGCUCUUAAGCCAGCACCCAAACUUGCAGAUACUGCCCCGUGGGUUGGUGACCCCCACUUUCACAUACAUUUUUAUGUGCUUCAAUCUGCAGGCAACCUGAGAAUUUUGCCUGCAGUACUGCUUUAUUUAAAUUCAUUGCUUACAGGGAAGUAAAAUCAUCUUCUAUGUAUAAGACUCACCUGAGUUCACAAGCCUGAAAAUGAAAACAGCAGAUUUAUUCUAGCAAAGCAAGAGGGUUAAGCUCUUGCUUCAAAUGAAAGACAUAUAAAAAAAAGUAAAAUUUAAAAAAUACCUGACAUCAAUCUCUCACUCUAGUUGUCACUUAGGGUUUCUCCAAGACAUCUCUCACUAGAAAAGCUGCAGGGGCAGCUUCAACACUUUGUUUUCAGAGUGCCUGUGUUCGGUGUGGGACCUCAUCCUGCCACUUCUGUCUCUCAUUUAUAUUUAACAGUUUUCUAGUGGCUUUUGAAUACAAAUGCAGCUUCAAAGCAUGUGGACUGCAUUGUACCAAGGGUAUCAAGGGAGCAAUGAGGGCUUAACUCCAUUGUUGAGGAGAGCAGUAUUAACUAAGACUAAGACUUUGUCAUUAGGAAAAGAAACAGCAUCAAGUGAAAACAACAGUUUCAUGUCAUGUUUCUAUGAUCUUUCCCUUUCUAAAAUUUAAUUAAAAUUGCAAUUAAA
This 1135-nucleotide long non-coding RNA is filed under the name Anser brachyrhynchus (Pink-footed goose). Its description in RNAcentral is "lncRNA (ENSABRG00000013310.1)". Lineage: Eukaryota; Metazoa; Chordata; Aves; Anseriformes; Anatidae. The record is from RNAcentral.